This is a long non-coding RNA of Bombus huntii, 1114 nucleotides long. RefSeq lists it as uncharacterized. The record is from RefSeq and is a predicted model, not a curated record. The transcript is spliced from 2 exons. Lineage: Eukaryota; Metazoa; Arthropoda; Insecta; Hymenoptera; Apidae.
CGUUUACAAAGCAAAUAUCGAUGAUUUCAUCUGGAGUUUUGCGUGGGCCGUUGUUUUGCACCGCUGGUUCCGCUUAUUUCAAUAAUUUCUUAGUUACGGAACAUCAAUACCUUGCUGACGUCUGCAAGAAAAAAAAAGUGUAUUCAGUCGUAAGAAAUAUCGAUUCAAGUAGGAACUAUACUACAGAUUACGCGAUAAAACACAAGGCAGAAUAAUGUUGGAAUACUAAGCAUCGCUGGUAAACUUUGGCUGCUAGUGGCGGACUCCUCAGUAAGGCUCUCACCUAGCAGACCCUUAGACACAGCGAGAGAAGACAGGAAGAGUGAGUGUUUCGGUUUCAAAUAAAUAAUAAUAGUGAUAAUAAUUGGUAUGGAAUUUAUGAUAACUUGGACCCAAUUAUUAUAAUAAAACCUGGGAAGAUGCUCGAUGUUCCGAAAAAAAAGCGGAUAAUAAAAAAUUUGAACAUUCCAUGGCUGUGAACGACUCGUGCAUUGAAAUUGUAAAAAACAUUUUGGUAAUGUAAUACAUUACACAUGUAUUCCAGUUUCAUUAGCUGUUCAAUCGAUUGAAAGUUUGAUUAACUGUCUUAAUAAAUAAUAUCUGACUACUUACAUUUCCUUUAGGAUGAAUUCUUGAAAAAAAGAUGCUGUUAUGUUAAAGCUUAAAGCACCUCGGAUAAUACGAAGCUUCGGUUAAACUGGCCUCGGAUAAGCAAGGCGCCAGUGUACCUCAUAUUGCGAGAAGGAGAAUUUCCUAUGACUUUUUUAUUGAUACUAAAUAUUGGCAACUAAGUGAUUGCAGAUUUUGUCAUUAGGUGGUAUUGACAUCUGUACAUAAGAAUUCGAACAGUUAUGGCCUUUAUUGUUACAUACUACUGAGAUAUGUGUAAUUCUGUGUGCUACACUAGAUUAGCCGCGUAGUAGUGACACGCGUAUAUGAGUACGAGUGUGUUGGAGUAUGUGCGUGAACAGCGUCUCGUAAAACAGAAGAAUGCGACUGUUCCGUCGAUAAGGAAGAUGGCGAGACAAAGAGAGUGCUGAGACGCGUGCAAUGUGUAUCGACGAAUAUCUUGUACAUCACAAAUUAAAUAAAUCUGAAACUAUUUUAAUAUCAA